AUAAUCUUGAAGGUCAGAUUCCAUACGAGCUAGGGGAGCUAUCUCAACUUAGUGCCUUGAACUUUUCCCACAAUUGCUUGACAGGAUCCAUUCCAGCAUCUUUGUCAAACCUUACCCAAUUAGAGAGUUUCGACCUCUCUCAUAAUAAACUAAGUGGAGAGAUUCCUUCACAAUUGAUAGCUUUACACUUUCUGGAGGUAUUUUCUGUUGCUUACAACAACUUAUCAGGCAAGAUUCUUGAUAUGGGGCAAUUUAGCACAUUUGACAAUAGUAGCUAUGAAGGGAAUCCAUUUCUUUGUGGACCUCUGCUGGAGAAAAACUGCACCAUAGAUAAUGAGUCACCCCAGUCACCAACAAGGUUGGCACAUAAAGCAGAUGGCAAAUGGCAUGAAAUUGAUGAGGUAGUCUUCUUUUCAAGCUUUUCAGUAUCCUUCGUCGUAUUCUUUUUGGGAGUCAUCGCGGUCCUGUAUGUCAAUCCUUAUUGGCGACAAAAAUUGUCCUAUCAUAUUGAGAAAUUUAUAUUUUUAUGUUAUUACUUUUUGUAUGAUAUUUUAUUUAAGUGAUUUUCUUAUUUGUAUCAUUAAUGGUGUGAUAUUUGUAAACCAUUUUCAUGAAACG
This 618-nucleotide unclassified non-coding RNA is filed under the name Hevea brasiliensis (rubber tree). Lineage: Eukaryota; Viridiplantae; Streptophyta; Magnoliopsida; Malpighiales; Euphorbiaceae. The record is from RNAcentral.